GCCAGCGUGGUGUAGUGGUUUGAGCUUUGGACUGUGACUCCAGAGACCAGGGUUCGAAUCCUGGCUCAGCCA
Phrynosoma platyrhinos (Desert horned lizard) is the source of this 72-nucleotide non-coding RNA. The record is from the annotation of a GenBank genome assembly. Lineage: Eukaryota; Metazoa; Chordata; Lepidosauria; Squamata; Phrynosomatidae.